UCCCACCCAAAGAUUUGGGGAUUUUGGCUUUCUCUGCAAGGCCAUCUGUGGUUCCUGAACUUAAGAAAGGAAGGGGGUUAGGGUGACGGGAAAGUGGGGAGCUGGGGCUUCGAGAGCAGCUUUCCCACCAUCUAGAGGGUGUCGCCUAACCUCCAGGCUGGAUCUCGUUCUUGAACUGCUCACCUGGGAGUCAGAUGCGGGAUCACCACACUCUGAGCCUCCGUCCUUUGCCCGGACUCCACAUCUGAGAAAUGGGUGACAAAACCCCAGAGACGGAGACUUGGCUCAGGGUUACACAGCAGCUGACCACAGGACCAGGGCUGUAAAAGUCAGCGCUCACACUGCUGCCACCACGCUU
Fukomys damarensis (Damara mole-rat) is the source of this 358-nucleotide long non-coding RNA. RefSeq lists it as uncharacterized. NCBI's taxonomy places the organism in Eukaryota, Metazoa, Chordata, Mammalia, Rodentia, Bathyergidae. The record is from RefSeq and is a predicted model, not a curated record. The transcript has 3 exons.